GCCACAGCCAUAUCACCCUGCAGUUACUCACUGAAGCAAAGCACGGCUGAGCCUGACCAGUACCUGGAUGCGAGACCACAUGGGAAAACUAGGUUGCUGGUGGAA
This 105-nucleotide ribosomal RNA is filed under the name Danio rerio (zebrafish). The record is from RNAcentral. Lineage: Eukaryota; Metazoa; Chordata; Actinopteri; Cypriniformes; Danionidae.